GAUGAACGCUGGCGGCGUGCCUAAUACAUGCAAGUCGAGCGAACGGACGAGAAGCUUGCUUUUCUGAUGUUAGCGGCGGACGGGUGAGUAACACGUGGAUAACCUACCUAUAAGACUGGGAUAACUUCGGGAAACCGGAGCUAAUACCGGAUAAUAUUUUGAACUGCAUGGUUCAAAAGUGAAAGACGGUCUUGCUGUCACUUAUAGAUGGAUCCGCGCUGCAUUAGCUAGUUGGUAAGGUAACGGCUUACCAAGGCAACGAUGCAUAGCCGACCUGAGAGGGUGAUCGGCCACACUGGAACGGAGCCACGGUCCAGACUCCUACGGGAGGCAGCAGUAGGGAAUCUUCCGCAAUGGGCGAAAGCCUGACGGAGCAACGCCGCGUGAGUGAUGAAGGUCCUCGGAUCGUAAAACUCUGUUAUUAGGGAAGAACAUAUGUGUAAGUAACUGUGCACAUCUUGACGGUACCUAAUCAGAAAGCCACGGCUAACUACGUG
Molecule: ribosomal RNA, 497 nt
Filed under: uncultured bacterium
Lineage: Bacteria
Description: partial 16S ribosomal RNA
Rfam family: Bacterial small subunit ribosomal RNA
Source: RNAcentral